AGAUUUAGCAUGAUUCUUAUAAAAGCAUGCUUGAAUUAUGAAUUGGGUAUGAAAAGGAGGUCCUUAGCCCUGGUGAUGGAGGCUGCUGCAGCUACAGGACUACCUGUGUCUUUAGUUAAGAACUGGAUUUGUAACUAUAGGUGUUCACUUAAUACCUCCUGCAACACCUGGCGCCGCAAAGCUGCUGGUUAUAAGUGCAGUGUCUGCCUAUAACUUGUUUUGCGCAGAGCUGCUGAAGGGGAAAGAGUCCUUCCGGUUUUGACCCUUGCCUGUUUCUGGACUUUGUGUCUGCCUGCCUUGACCACGAGCCUGUCUGCCACUCUGUACCUCCUGGACUCUGAUCUGGUUUUGACCUUUUUUGCCUGUCCACGACCAUUCUCUUGCCUACCUCUUUGGAUUAAUAAACA
Molecule: long non-coding RNA, 407 nt
Organism: Oncorhynchus masou masou (cherry salmon)
Lineage: Eukaryota; Metazoa; Chordata; Actinopteri; Salmoniformes; Salmonidae
Exons: 4
Source: RefSeq, a predicted model, not a curated record